GCAAGUAUCCUCGCCCCAGUGAGAAUGCCCUCUAUCUCCACAAGGAUCAAAAGGUGCAGGUAUUAAGUACGCUCUUUCUUGAGCAGCUCAUGACACCUUGCUAUACCACACCCCCACGGGACACAGCAGUGAUUAAAAUUGAGAUAUGAACGAAAGUUUGACUGAGUCAUACUAAUACUUAGGGUUGGUAAAUUUCGUGCCAGCCACCGCGGUCAUACGAUUAACCCUAGUUAAUAAAGCACGGCGUAAAGCGUGAUAAAGGAAUAAUCUAAAGAUAAGAUUAAGCUCUAACUAAGCUGUAAAAAGCCUUAGUUAAAAUAAAAAUAUAAAACGAAAGUGGUCUUAUAACUCCUGACUUCACGAUAGCUAAGGCCCAAACUGGGAUUAGAUACCCCACUAUGCUUAGCCCUAAACAUAAAUAUUCAACUAACAAGAAUAUUCGCCAGAGAACUACUAGCCACUGCUUAAAACUCAAAGGACUUGGCGGUGCUUUAUAUCCCCCUAGAGGAGCCUGUUCUGUAAUCGAUAAACCCCGUUAAACCUCACCACUCUUUGCAAUGUCAGCCUAUAUACCGCCAUCUUCAGCAAACCCUAACAAGGCAUCAUAGUAAGCAUAAUAAUUCUACAUAAAAACGUUAGGUCAAGGUGUAGCCUAUAGAGUGGGAAGAAAUGGGCUACAUUUUCUAUUUCUCCUAGAACACUUCACGACAGCAGUUAUGAAACAUGACUAGCCUAAGGCGGAUUUAGUAGUAAGUUGGGAAUAGAGUGCCCAACUG
RNAcentral lists this ribosomal RNA (776 nucleotides) under Sciurus niger (fox squirrel). RNAcentral describes it as "partial 12S ribosomal RNA". It matches the Rfam family "Bacterial small subunit ribosomal RNA", at positions 294 to 1364 of the family's 1533-position model. Lineage: Eukaryota; Metazoa; Chordata; Mammalia; Rodentia; Sciuridae. The record is from RNAcentral.